RNAcentral lists this long non-coding RNA (521 nucleotides) under Nicotiana tabacum (common tobacco). Its description in RNAcentral is "long non-coding RNA (NTAB_LNC007569)". The record is from RNAcentral. Lineage: Eukaryota; Viridiplantae; Streptophyta; Magnoliopsida; Solanales; Solanaceae.
AAGAAAAAAGGACCUUCAGAAAAAAAGAAAAUAGGACCUUUGGACAGAGACCAGAGGAGUCUACAUCAAAAACAUUUUUAAAUAAAAAGACCAUUUUAAUACCUAAAACUCAUUCCUUCUUUCCAUUUUUGCGAACACUACUUAUCUCUUCCUUUCUCCAUUCCCGCCUAUAAUUCAAGGAUUUAACCCGUAACCACCUCCCGUUAACCCAAUCAGACGACUAAUUACAGAUUCUCACUUAUGGUAAUUAGUUCCUAUCCUUUUAUGUGUUACUAUAAUUUACUCAAGUUAUUCUAUAAGAACAACUUGUUUAAUUGUGUUUUCCGUUUUGCAGCAUUAAUUUGUAAUUAAGGGCCUAAAACUUGAUAUUCAGAAACAAGAAGAAGAGAACAUCAAAUGGAUACCUGUAUCAAAGUUUGUGCUUUGUUUGUGUAUCUAUCUCUGGCUUUGAGUUGCUUCUCUCCUUUGGGAUCUGUCUCUCAACUUUUGCCUGCAGAGGAAGGUAGUUACAUUUUCUCUCC